UCUAGCAUGUUGCAGACUGCUGGUUGCUAACCCAAACCCUGUCAGUGUGGAUGAUAAGGAGAAAAUCAUCAAGAAUUUCAUGCAGUGGUACAUAAUUUACCGCAACCAUUUCUCAAUCCAAAGGUAAUGGGUCUGCCUUAUUUUUUUCGGCAUUUUGUGCCUUUAUUGAUAGGACAGUGUAUAGUCUUGUGAAAGAGGGUGAGAGAGUAGGGGAAGACACUCUGCAAACUGGUCACAGGCAGGAUUCAAACCUGGACCGGCAGAAGCAAGUAUAUGGGGUGCCUGGUUGCUAACCACUCCGCCAAACCAGCAUCCCACGUGUCCGCCUUAUUUGACCACAGUUAAAGAUUUACAUUCAUUUGUUUCAAAACAAAUUCAUGUAACAGAAGUUAUCAGCAGCAGGCUGGUAGAAUUACCAAGGUGUUAAAACUCUCACUGGCCAUUUGGCAUGCAAGUCUGACACCAUGAAUGAUUAAUAAUGAUGAUUAAUAAUGAUUGCUCUUAAUGUUUUCUAGAUUCAAGGAUGGGCUUUCAACACAGGGUGUCAUCUAUGCUUUGGAACAGCAUGCAUCUGUAUUCAGGCCCUUUAUGUGCUCAAGUGUAAAGAAGCUGACAUCUGCAACCCUGGAAGACAUCUUUGAGGUUCAGCUCAGUGAAAAAGGCAGCACAAGACGACAAGAGGAAACCAGAGCACUAGGAUUUUGGAGAGACUAUCUCCUUGAGACAGAAGAACAACAAACAGGGCUCUCCCUCCAGGACAUCUCGAUGUUUGCUACGGGACUGAACACACUGCCCCCUGCUGGAAUUCAGCCACAACCCAAGCUGAUUUUUCAGUCAACAUCUCGCUUCCCAGUCAGCAGCACCUGUGCAAACACAAUCAAAAUACCAAUGUCCAAGACUUAUGAGCAAUUUCAAAAAGACAUGGACUUUGGCAUACUAAACUCUCCUGGUUUUGGGCUUUGUUAUUUUGAAAUAUAGUAUCAGAAUGCAGAAAUUAUAAUGUUCUCUUUUAAGGCAGUUGUUAACAUCAUUUUGUUCUGUAAAGGUUUCGAUACACAGAUUCAAAGUUAGACUUACGUUUAAUUACAUAUUCGCCAUGUUCUUCAGUGUUAUAUAGUUCUCCACACACGAUUCCCAGGUCAAUGGCUGCAUCAGACCACUCUGUCUCUGUAGGGCUUCAAAGUGUGCCUGGAGAUGGUCAUCUCCACAUGGACUGCAGGUUGACUCAGUCAUAAACUGGCCCAACUCUUCAUGUGAAAUGGGGAACCCACAGUCAGUUCCACCAAACCUAGGGGUAAUUGUGCACUGCACAUCAGUCAGGUAUUUACAUAUUUUUUUCAGUCAACUGUAAUGUUGUUUAAUGCUGUAACCAGUUGUUAUACCGAAUUGUAGUUUGGAAAUAAACAAUUUUCUGUCACAAUGAA
Molecule: long non-coding RNA, 1424 nt
Organism: Acanthochromis polyacanthus (spiny chromis)
Lineage: Eukaryota; Metazoa; Chordata; Actinopteri; Pomacentridae
Exons: 2
Source: RefSeq, a predicted model, not a curated record